RNAcentral lists this ribosomal RNA (498 nucleotides) under uncultured bacterium. Its description in RNAcentral is "partial 16S ribosomal RNA". It matches the Rfam family "Bacterial small subunit ribosomal RNA", at positions 30 to 523 of the family's 1533-position model. The record is from RNAcentral.
AUUGAACGCUGGCGGCAUGCCUUACACAUGCAAGUCGAACGGCAGCACGGGGCAACCUGGUGGCGAGUGGCGAACGGGUGAGUAAUGCAUCGGAACGUACCUUUCAGUGGGGGAUAACGUAGCGAAAGUUACGCUAAUACCGCAUAUUCUGUGAGCAGGAAAGCAGGGGAUCGCAAGACCUUGCGCUGAUUGAGCGGCCGAUGUCAGAUUAGCUAGUUGGUGAGGUAAAGGCUCACCAAGGCGACGAUCUGUAGCGGGUCUGAGAGGAUGAUCCGCCACACUGGAACUGAGACCCGGUCAAGAGUCAUACGGGAAGCAGCAGUGGGGAAUUUUGGACAAUGGGGGCAACCCUGAUCCAGCCAUGCCGCGUGAGUGAAGAAGGCCUUCGGGUUGUAAAGCUCUUUCGGCCGGGAAGAAAUCGCACGGGCUAAUACCCUGUGUGGAUGACGGUACCGGAAUAAGAAGCACCGGCUAACUACGUGCCAGCAGCCGCCGUAA